This 2929-nucleotide ribosomal RNA is filed under the name Escherichia coli. RNAcentral's name for it is "bacterial LSU rRNA". It matches the Rfam family "Bacterial large subunit ribosomal RNA". Lineage: Bacteria; Pseudomonadati; Pseudomonadota; Gammaproteobacteria; Enterobacterales; Enterobacteriaceae. The record is from RNAcentral.
GGGUUGUGAGGUUAAGCGACUAAGCGUACACGGUGGAUGCCCUGGCAGUCAGAGGCGAUGAAGGACGUGCUAAUCUGCGAUAAGCGUCGGUAAGGUGAUAUGAACCGUUAUAACCGGCGAUUUCCGAAUGGGGAAACCCAGUGUGUUUCGACACACUAUCAUUAACUGAAUCCAUAGGUUAAUGAGGCGAACCGGGGGAACUGAAACAUCUAAGUACCCCGAGGAAAAGAAAUCAACCGAGAUUCCCCCAGUAGCGGCGAGCGAACGGGGAGCAGCCCAGAGCCUGAAUCAGUGUGUGUGUUAGUGGAAGCGUCUGGAAAGGCGCGCGAUACAGGGUGACAGCCCCGUACACAAAAAUGCACAUGCUGUGAGCUCGAUGAGUAGGGCGGGACACGUGGUAUCCUGUCUGAAUAUGGGGGGACCAUCCUCCAAGGCUAAAUACUCCUGACUGACCGAUAGUGAACCAGUACCGUGAGGGAAAGGCGAAAAGAACCCCGGCGAGGGGAGUGAAAAAGAACCUGAAACCGUGUACGUACAAGCAGUGGGAGCACGCUUAGGCGUGUGACUGCGUACCUUUUGUAUAAUGGGUCAGCGACUUAUAUUCUGUAGCAAGGUUAACCGAAUAGGGGAGCCGAAGGGAAACCGAGUCUUAACUGGGCGUUAAGUUGCAGGGUAUAGACCCGAAACCCGGUGAUCUAGCCAUGGGCAGGUUGAAGGUUGGGUAACACUAACUGGAGGACCGAACCGACUAAUGUUGAAAAAUUAGCGGAUGACUUGUGGCUGGGGGUGAAAGGCCAAUCAAACCGGGAGAUAGCUGGUUCUCCCCGAAAGCUAUUUAGGUAGCGCCUCGUGAAUUCAUCUCCGGGGGUAGAGCACUGUUUCGGCAAGGGGGUCAUCCCGACUUACCAACCCGAUGCAAACUGCGAAUACCGGAGAAUGUUAUCACGGGAGACACACGGCGGGUGCUAACGUCCGUCGUGAAGAGGGAAACAACCCAGACCGCCAGCUAAGGUCCCAAAGUCAUGGUUAAGUGGGAAACGAUGUGGGAAGGCCCAGACAGCCAGGAUGUUGGCUUAGAAGCAGCCAUCAUUUAAAGAAAGCGUAAUAGCUCACUGGUCGAGUCGGCCUGCGCGGAAGAUGUAACGGGGCUAAACCAUGCACCGAAGCUGCGGCAGCGACACUAUGUGUUGUUGGGUAGGGGAGCGUUCUGUAAGCCUGUGAAGGUGUACUGUGAGGUAUGCUGGAGGUAUCAGAAGUGCGAAUGCUGACAUAAGUAACGAUAAAGCGGGUGAAAAGCCCGCUCGCCGGAAGACCAAGGGUUCCUGUCCAACGUUAAUCGGGGCAGGGUGAGUCGACCCCUAAGGCGAGGCCGAAAGGCGUAGUCGAUGGGAAACAGGUUAAUAUUCCUGUACUUGGUGUUACUGCGAAGGGGGGACGGAGAAGGCUAUGUUGGCCGGGCGACGGUUGUCCCGGUUUAAGCGUGUAGGCUGGUUUUCCAGGCAAAUCCGGAAAAUCAAGGCUGAGGCGUGAUGACGAGGCACUACGGUGCUGAAGCAACAAAUGCCCUGCUUCCAGGAAAAGCCUCUAAGCAUCAGGUAACAUCAAAUCGUACCCCAAACCGACACAGGUGGUCAGGUAGAGAAUACCAAGGCGCUUGAGAGAACUCGGGUGAAGGAACUAGGCAAAAUGGUGCCGUAACUUCGGGAGAAGGCACGCUGAUAUGUAGGUGAAGUCCCUCGCGGAUGGAGCUGAAAUCAGUCGAAGAUACCAGCUGGCUGCAACUGUUUAUUAAAAACACAGCACUGUGCAAACACGAAAGUGGACGUAUACGGUGUGACGCCUGCCCGGUGCCGGAAGGUUAAUUGAUGGGGUCAGCGCAAGCGAAGCUCUUGAUCGAAGCCCCGGUAAACGGCGGCCGUAACUAUAACGGUCCUAAGGUAGCGAAAUUCCUUGUCGGGUAAGUUCCGACCUGCACGAAUGGCGUAAUGAUGGCCAGGCUGUCUCCACCCGAGACUCAGUGAAAUUGAACUCGCUGUGAAGAUGCAGUGUACCCGCGGCAAGACGGAAAGACCCCGUGAACCUUUACUAUAGCUUGACACUGAACAUUGAGCCUUGAUGUGUAGGAUAGGUGGGAGGCUUUGAAGUGUGGACGCCAGUCUGCAUGGAGCCGACCUUGAAAUACCACCCUUUAAUGUUUGAUGUUCUAACGUUGACCCGUGAUCCGGGUUGCGGACAGUGUCUGGUGGGUAGUUUGACUGGGGCGGUCUCCUCCUAAAGAGUAACGGAGGAGCACGAAGGUUGGCUAAUCCUGGUCGGACAUCAGGAGGUUAGUGCAAUGGCAUAAGCCAGCUUGACUGCGAGCGUGACGGCGCGAGCAGGUGCGAAAGCAGGUCAUAGUGAUCCGGUGGUUCUGAAUGGAAGGGCCAUCGCUCAACGGAUAAAAGGUACUCCGGGGAUAACAGGCUGAUACCGCCCAAGAGUUCAUAUCGACGGCGGUGUUUGGCACCUCGAUGUCGGCUCAUCACAUCCUGGGGCUGAAGUAGGUCCCAAGGGUAUGGCUGUUCGCCAUUUAAAGUGGUACGCGAGCUGGGUUUAGAACGUCGUGAGACAGUUCGGUCCCUAUCUGCCGUGGGCGCUGGAGAACUGAGGGGGGCUGCUCCUAGUACGAGAGGACCGGAGUGGACGCAUCACUGGUGUUCGGGUUGUCAUGCCAAUGGCACUGCCCGGUAGCUAAAUGCGGAAGAGAUAAGUGCUGAAAGCAUCUAAGCACGAAACUUGCCCCGAGAUGAGUUCUCCCUGACUCCUUGAGAGUCCUGAAGGAACGUUGAAGACGACGACGUUGAUAGGCCGGGUGUGUAAGCGCAGCGAUGCGUUGAGCUAACCGGUACUAAUGAACCGUGAGGCUUAACCUUACAACGCCGAAGCUGUU